Molecule: ribosomal RNA, 509 nt
Filed under: uncultured Sphingobacteriales bacterium
Lineage: Bacteria; Pseudomonadati; Bacteroidota; Sphingobacteriia; Sphingobacteriales
Description: bacterial SSU rRNA
Rfam family: Bacterial small subunit ribosomal RNA
Source: RNAcentral
UACAUGGGCGACGACCGGCAAACGGGUGCGUAACACGUACGCAAUCUACCCACUACAGGGGAAUAGCCCAGGGAAACUUGGAUUAAUACCCCAUAUUAUAUAGGAGUGGCACCACUUUUAUAUCAAAGCUUCGGCGGUAGUGGAUGAGCGUGCGGUUGAUUAGAUAGUUGGCGGGGUAACGGCCCACCAAGUCUACGAUCAAUAGCUGAUGUGAGAGCAUGAUCAGCCACACGGGCACUGAGACACGGGCCCGACUCCUACGGGAGGCAGCAGUAAGGAAUAUUGGGCAAUGGACGCAAGUCUGACCCAGCCAUGCCGCGUGAAGGAUGAAGGUCCUCUGGAUUGUAAACUUCUUUUAUCUGGGGCGAAAACAACUCUUUCUAGAGUUCUUGACAGUACCAGAGGAAUAAGCACCGGCUAACUCCGUGCCAGCAGCCGCGGUAAUACGGAGGGUGCAAGCGUUAUCCGGAUUCACUGGGUUUAAAGGGUGCGUAGGCGGGCUAGUAAGU